Long non-coding RNA from Nyctereutes procyonoides (raccoon dog), 1865 nucleotides. RefSeq lists it as uncharacterized. The record is from RefSeq and is a predicted model, not a curated record. NCBI's taxonomy places the organism in Eukaryota, Metazoa, Chordata, Mammalia, Carnivora, Canidae. The transcript has 4 exons.
UACCUGAAAUAUUAGCUUUCAGUUAAAGCUGUUAGGAAGCCUGCCACAAAUCAAACUCCAACAUACCUUCGCAGAAAACCCUUCAAGGACUCUAGAUCUAGUUUAGUUUUUCCUAAAUGGCAUUGCAUAGAUCACCAGUAUUGGCCAUUGUGGUGCUUUGCUAAAAAGGGAAAUUCUGGGGUGCCUGGGUGGUGGCACAGUGGGUUAAAGUUUCUGACUCUUGAUCUCAGGAUUGUGAGGAUUGUGAGUUCAAGCCCCAUGUUUGAUUCCUUGCUGGGCAUGGAAACUACUAAAAAAAAAAAAAAAAAGAAAAAGAAAAGAAAAGAAAAUAAAGAAGAAAGAAAAGAAAAGAAAAAAAAGAAAAGAAAAGAAAAAUUCCUUGGUCCCAACAGAGACCAACUACAUCAGAAUAUUUGGGGUGUACAACAGGAUUCAAUAUCGGCAUACACUACAAAGGGAUCAUCACAGGAGUCUAGUGACUGUUCCUCACUACACAUUGGCCUCUUUCACCCAUCACCCACCCUCGACCUCCUCUGAGAGCCAUCACUAUGUGUGGCCAUAUGACUAAGUCUCGAGAUGCAUGUGACUUCUGUAAAAUCACCUUGAAAGUUAGUGGGGACCUGUCUUUUUUAACCCUUUUUCUGUAUCAUGGUGCCUGGAAUUGGAUAUGAUGGCUGGAGUCUGAGCAAGCGUAUUGGCUCACAAGGGUUACAAGCACAGCCUGGAGAAGAAGAAACAGUGAGCUUGAAGAAAUGGGUUCUGAAAGAAUUUGGAGCAGCUUUAUAACCAAUUCAAUGCUGACUUUUGGCCUCAAAAUGUUGGAGAUUUACAUAUAUAAUACUUCAGACUUGAGGUUGGUCCAGUUCUAUUUCUUACCAUACCGGCCUCCUAUAUUUUGACUGGAAAUAGACGAAGAUAGCAUCUCUGAACUCCAUCAAUAAUACUCAGCAUCUCUUAAAGACCUACGACAUGCCAGGAAGCUUGCCUACAUUGUCUCUUUUAGUUUUUAUGGUCCCUGUUAGAAUCAGAGUGUGGUCAAAGGAGCAGACUGCCUGGUGUAAGACCUAGUCUGUGCUUCUUACUAGUCCUAAGAUCUUGCAAAGCUCAUUUAUCUGUCCUAUGCUUCAAUUUCUUUCGUUUGUUUUUUUUUUAAGAUUUUAUUUAUUUAUUCAUGAGAGACCCAGAGAGAGAGAGAGAGAGAGAGAGAGAGAGAGAGAGAGAGAGAAGCAGAGAUCCAGGCAGAGGCAGAAGCUGGCCCCAUGCUAGGAACCCAGUGUGGGACUCGAUCCCGGGUCUCCAGGAUCAUGCCCUGGAUUGAAGGUGGCGCUAAACUGCUGAGCCACCCGGGUUGCCUGGGCUUCAGUUUCUUAAUCUACAAAACCAGGAUAAAAUUAUAUCCACCUAUCUGUGUUGUUGAUAAUUAAGUUAGCUGAUAAAUCAAAAGGAUUUCGAAUACUGCUUCACUAUCUGCUGUUCUUAGUGUUCUUAGUGUCCCCCUCAUCCCCACUGCUGAGAAGAAAACUGAUGCUCAGAGACUCCACCCUAUUAAUAAGUGGCAGAGGUAGGAUUAAACCCUGGGGCUGCUAACUCUAGAGUAGUCAUCACUCCAAGAAACCCUUUGAUGCCUCAUUCUAAUUGAGUGAUCAUGCCCAAUGUGCAAAGACAACUUUUCAGAAUGCUCACUCCUCAAAACUCGUGCUUGAAAAUGCCCUUCACAGGGAAGGUGACAGGAAGCUGACCCUCCUCACCUCUCAUUGCAGCCUAGAGUACAAGGCACACCUGGCUUCCAGCAGCCUACCUACAUUAUGAAGGGUUAUCUGGUGUGAAUCUGAGCUAUUAGUGGCUUCACCCACAUAAUGAACACA